Molecule: unclassified non-coding RNA, 185 nt
Filed under: rhizosphere metagenome
Description: partial ribosomal RNA internal transcribed spacer region
Source: RNAcentral
GUAGGUGAACCUGCGGAAGGAUCAUCAACAAAUCUAAUGCCGCUCAGCGGCGUAUACCAAUGUGAAUAGCAGGCCUUCGGGACUGUGUCGUUUUUGUUCUUUGAACAAAAAUAUUAACGAGCAAACCGAGUCGGAUAAAAAAAACAUAAUAGAAACAACUUUUAACAAUGGAUCUCUUGGCUCUU